This 609-nucleotide ribosomal RNA is filed under the name Peribacillus frigoritolerans. RNAcentral's name for it is "bacterial SSU rRNA". It matches the Rfam family "Bacterial small subunit ribosomal RNA", at positions 100 to 697 of the family's 1533-position model. Lineage: Bacteria; Bacillati; Bacillota; Bacilli; Caryophanales; Bacillaceae. The record is from RNAcentral.
GGCGUCGAGUAACACGUGGGCAACCUGCCUAUAAGACUGGGAUAACUUCGGGAAACCGGAGCUAAUACCGGAUACGUUCUUUUCUCGCAUGAGAGAAGAUGGAAAGACGGUUUACGCUGUCACUUAUAGAUGGGCCCGCGGCGCAUUAGCUAGUUGGUGAGGUAAUGGCUCACCAAGGCGACGAUGCGUAGCCGACCUGAGAGGGUGAUCGGCCACACUGGGACUGAGACACGGCCCAGACUCCUACGGGAGGCAGCAGUAGGGAAUCUUCCGCAAUGGACGAAAGUCUGACGGAGCAACGCCGCGUGAACGAAGAAGGCCUUCGGGUCGUAAAGUUCUGUUGUUAGGGAAGAACAAGUACCAGAGUAACUGCUGGUACCUUGACGGUACCUAACCAGAAAGCCACGGCUAACUACGUGCCAGCAGCCGCGGUAAUACGUAGGUGGCAAGCGUUGUCCGGAAUUAUUGGGCGUAAAGCGCGCGCAGGUGGUUCCUUAAGUCUGAUGUGAAAGCCCACGGCUCAACCGUGGAGGGUCAUUGGAAACUGGGGAACUUGAGUGCAGAAGAGGAAAGUGGAAUUCCAAGUGUAGCGGUGAAAUGCGUAGAGAU